This 465-nucleotide long non-coding RNA is filed under the name Equus asinus (donkey). RNAcentral describes it as "lncRNA (ENSEASG00005038048.1)". The record is from RNAcentral. Lineage: Eukaryota; Metazoa; Chordata; Mammalia; Perissodactyla; Equidae.
GUUUUCUUCUUCUCUUCAUGUUUCUGCUCUUACCUCCUUCUCAGGUUCUGCUAGCCCUUUGGGAUAUCAGGCCUUCAGAAGUAGCUCAGAAGAAAGGCUAUGUGAGGACACAGCAAGAAGGUGGCUGCCCACCAGCCAGGAAGAGAGCCCUCACCAGGAACUGAAUCUACUGGCCUCCAUCUGGGACUUCCAUCCUCCAGACCUGAAAAUGCAAGAGGAGAGAGAUAAAUUGAAAGAAUUGUUAAGCAAAAAGGAAGUAGAAGUUGAAGACUUGGAAAAUUCUCAGCCUACCCAUGUUACAAAAAGUGAGAAAGUAUGCUCUGAACACCAAGGAUGUGGGUGGAAAAUCAUUUGAUAAAGGAAUUAUGGAUAUGAACCCUGGAUUUAAUCAGCCAUCUCAGCAGAAUCGAGCAAUAGAGAUGGGGUUAUACGAGCAGACACUGCCAGUUUGGACCAAGGAGACAG